Molecule: long non-coding RNA, 327 nt
Filed under: Anser brachyrhynchus (Pink-footed goose)
Lineage: Eukaryota; Metazoa; Chordata; Aves; Anseriformes; Anatidae
Description: lncRNA (ENSABRG00000012849.1)
Source: RNAcentral
CUGGGUAUUUUCUUCCACUGGGUCUCAUGAUGACAGGGAGAAAUAAAUUAAGCAACAAGAAAGAGUAGGUAGUAUAUGGGUAUCAUUGCUACACCAAAGUUUCCUCUAGAUGUUUGUUUAUUUUCCCCUAAUAACUAUCUUUUGUGGUGAUGCAGAAAGUCAUCUUUGGUCCUGUGAAGAAUGUUUGAGAAGCAAAGUUGAAGAAACGAGGAGCUGGAGUUUUACGAUGAAAUUUGGUGACAAACAGAAACAACUAGGAGGAAAAAAAAGGUAGAAGGGAUCACAUCAAAUACCUAAAAUAAUGAUUUGGCUAAAUUACAACUAACC